AAAGGAUUCUGCUGUCUGUCCC
RNAcentral lists this microRNA (22 nucleotides) under Mus musculus (house mouse). Its description in RNAcentral is "mmu-miR-8095". Lineage: Eukaryota; Metazoa; Chordata; Mammalia; Rodentia; Muridae. The record is from miRBase by way of RNAcentral.